RNAcentral lists this ribosomal RNA (465 nucleotides) under Vreelandella stevensii. RNAcentral's name for it is "partial 16S ribosomal RNA". It matches the Rfam family "Bacterial small subunit ribosomal RNA", at positions 338 to 795 of the family's 1533-position model. Lineage: Bacteria; Pseudomonadati; Pseudomonadota; Gammaproteobacteria; Oceanospirillales; Halomonadaceae. The record is from RNAcentral.
CCUACGGGGGGCUGCAGUGGGGAAUAUUGGACAAUGGGGGCAACCCUGAUCCAGCCAUGCCGCGUGUGUGAAGAAGGCCCUCGGGUUGUAAAGCACUUUCAGUGAGGAAGAACGCCUGGUGGUUAAUACCCAUCAGGAAAGACAUCACUCACAGAAGAAGCACCGGCUAACUCCGUGCCAGCAUCCGCGGUAAUACGGAGGGUGCGAGCGUUAAUCGGAAUUACUGGGCGUAAAGCGCGCGUAGGUGGCUUGAUAAGCCGGUUGUGAAAGCCCCGGGCUCAACCUGGGAACGGCAUCCGGAACUGUCAAGCUAGAGUGCAGGAGAGGAAGGUAGAAUUCCCGGUGUAGCGGUGAAAUGCGUAGAGAUCGGGAGGAAUACCAGUGGCGAAGGCGGCCUUCUGGACUGACACUGACACUGAGGUGCGAAAGCGUGGGUAGCAAACAGGAUUAGAUACCCUAGUAGUC